RNAcentral lists this non-coding RNA (21 nucleotides) under Rattus norvegicus (Norway rat). The record is from RNAcentral. Lineage: Eukaryota; Metazoa; Chordata; Mammalia; Rodentia; Muridae.
CUGUGUUUGUGCUGUGACUCA